AACGAACGUUGGCGGCGUGGAUUAGGCAUGCAAGUCGAACGAAUCCUACUGCUGUAGCAAUACAGUGGUGGGGGAAGUGGCGAAAGGGGCAGUAAUGCAUGGGUAACCUACCCCGGGGACGUGGAUAGCCUUCCUAACGGAAGGGUAAUACACGGCGAUCUGUGCGGGAGACAUCUCCUGUCCAGGAAAUGAAUUUUCGCCUCGGGGAGGGGCUCAUGUCGUAUUAGCUUGUUGGUGAGGUAACGGCUCACCAAGGCAAAGAUGCGUAGCGGGUGUGAGAGCACGACCCGCGCCACUGGCACUGAGACACUGGCCAGACUCUUACGGGAGGCUGCAGUCGAGGAUCUUUGGCAAUGGGCGAAAGCCUGACCAAGCGACGCCGCGUGUGCGAUG
This 393-nucleotide ribosomal RNA is filed under the name uncultured bacterium. RNAcentral describes it as "bacterial SSU rRNA". It matches the Rfam family "Bacterial small subunit ribosomal RNA", at positions 29 to 410 of the family's 1533-position model. The record is from RNAcentral.